GAUGAACGCUGGCGGCGUGCUUAACACAUGCAAGUCGAACGGAAAGGCCCAAGCUUGCUUGGGUACUCGAGUGGCGAACGGGUGAGUAACACGUGGGUGAUCUGCCCUGCACUUCGGGAUAAGCCUGGGAAACUGGGUCUAAUACCGGAUAGGACGAUGGUUUGGAUGCCAUUGUGGAAAGUUUUUUCGGUGUGGGAUGAGCUCGCGGCCUAUCAGCUUGUUGGUGGGGUAAUGGCCUACCAAGGCGUCGACGGGUAGCCGGCCUGAGAGGGUGUACGGCCACAUUGGGACUGAGAUACGGACCAGACUCCUACGGGAGGCAGCAGUGGGGAAUAUUGCACAAUGGGCGCAAGCCUGAUGCAGCGACGCCGCGUGGGGGAUGACGGCCUUCGGGUUGUAAACCCCUUUCGCUAGGGACGAAGCGUUUUUGUGACGGUACCUGGAGAAGAAGCACCGGCUAGCUACGUG
This 468-nucleotide ribosomal RNA is filed under the name uncultured bacterium. RNAcentral's name for it is "partial 16S ribosomal RNA". It matches the Rfam family "Bacterial small subunit ribosomal RNA", at positions 28 to 507 of the family's 1533-position model. The record is from RNAcentral.